This 42-nucleotide ribosomal RNA is filed under the name Begonia formosana. Its description in RNAcentral is "partial 28S ribosomal RNA". The record is from RNAcentral. Lineage: Eukaryota; Viridiplantae; Streptophyta; Magnoliopsida; Cucurbitales; Begoniaceae.
GGACCCUAGGUGAGGCGGAAUUACCCGCUGAAUUUAAGCAUA